Molecule: ribosomal RNA, 559 nt
Filed under: Diaporthe rosae
Lineage: Eukaryota; Fungi; Ascomycota; Sordariomycetes; Diaporthales; Diaporthaceae
Description: eukaryotic LSU rRNA
Rfam family: Eukaryotic large subunit ribosomal RNA
Source: RNAcentral
CGGCAACAGCUCAAAUUUGAAAUCUGGCUUCGGCCCGAGUUGUAAUUUGCAGAGGAUGUUUCUGGCGCGGUGCCUUCCGAGUUCCCUGGAACGGGACGCCACAGAGGGUGAGAGCCCCGUAUGGUCGGACACCAAGCCUGUGUGAAACUCCUUCAACGAGUCGAGUAGUUUGGGAAUGCUGCUCUAAAUGGGAGGUAAAUCUCUUCUAAAGCUAAAUACCGGCCAGAGACCGAUAGCGCACAAGUAGAGUGAUCGAAAGAUGAAAAGCACCUUGAAAAGGGGGUUAAAUAGUACGUGAAAUUGUUGAAAGGGAAGCACUUAUGACCAGACUUGGGCCGGGCGGCUCAUCAGGGGUUCUCCCCUGUGCACUCCGCCCGGCACAGGCCAGCAUCGGUUUUCGCGGGGGGAUAAGACCGACGGGAACGUAGCACCCUCCGGGGUGUGUUAUAGCCCGGCGGACGAUACCCUCGCGGGGACCGAGGUCCGCGCUCCGCAAGGAUGCUGGCGUAAUGGUCAUCAGUGACCCGUCUUGAAACACGGACCAAGGAGUCGUCCAUUA